Molecule: ribosomal RNA, 513 nt
Filed under: uncultured Glomus
Lineage: Eukaryota; Fungi; Glomeromycota; Glomeromycetes; Glomerales; Glomeraceae
Description: SSU rRNA
Rfam family: Eukaryotic small subunit ribosomal RNA
Source: RNAcentral
AGCAGCCGCGGUAAUUCCAGCUCCAAUAGCGUAUAUUAAAGUUGUUGCAGUUAAAAAGCUCGUAGUUGAAUUUCGGGAUCAAUAUGUCGGUCGUGCCUUGGUACGUACUGGUAUCAUUGGUCUCUCCUUUCUGACGAACCAUGAUGUCAUUAAUUUGGUGUUAUGGGAAGUUAGGACUGCUACUUUGAAAAAAUUAGAGUGUUUAAAGCAGGCUCACGCUUGAAUACAUUAGCAUGGAAUAAUGAAAUAGGACGUUUGAUUCUAUUUUGUUGGUUUCUAGGAUCGACGUAAUGAUUAAUAGGGAUAGUUGGGGGCAUUAGUAUUCAAUUGUCAGAGGUGAAAUUCUUGGAUUUAUUGAAGACUAACUACUGCGAAAGCAUUUGCCAAGGAUGUUUUCAUUAAUCAAGACGAAAGUUAGGGGAUCGAAGACGAUCAGAUACCGUCGUAGUCUUAACAUAAACUAUGCCGACUAGGGAUCGGAUGAUGUUAAUUUUUUAAUGACUCAUUCGGUCG